GGGUCAGGGUGAUUAAAUAGUACACGGUGUGCCAGGACAUGAUGCUGUGUCUUCUCUCCUGUUAUUGUUCCUCCUAGUUCUCUCCUGUUAUUGUUCCUCCUAGUUCUCCCGCCCAGGUCCCCAGUCCGUGCCUCUGCAGCUGAGCGCCCACUGGCAGUGUGGGACAACCCUCACACAGGUCUCUGUGGAGUACAGUUACCGGCCUGGUGCCACAGCUGUGCCCACACCACUCACUAACGUCCAGAUCCUUCUGCCUGUGGGGGAGCCUGUGACCAAUGUCCGUCUGCAGCCUGCUGCCACUUGGAACCUAGAGGAGAAAAGGCUUAUGUGGAAGCUUCCAGACGUGUCUGAGGCAGGGGGCUCUGGCCGCCUCUCCGCCAGCUGGGAGCCGCUCUCCGGGCCCAGUACACCCAGCCCCGUGGCUGCACAGUUCACCAGUGAGGGUGCCACUCUGUCAGGCGUGGACCUGGAACUGGUGGGCAGUGGCUACCGCAUGUCACUGGUAAAGAGAAGGUUCGCCACAGGUACUGGUCUGCCCUGCCCCUGCACAACCCCAGGAGGAGUUGGGACCAUGAUGGGGAGUAGGGGGGCUGGGAGCAAGCACUACCUCCUGCUUCUGCCAGGAUGUGGGGAGGGAUUUGGGCAUGGGGCUGUUUGAGAAGGAUAGGUGGGUGUCAGGACCAGGAGACCCAGGAUGGGAAAUGCACAGGUGGGCAGGGGGGUGGGAGUCAGGGCUCCAAUGGGAGGAGACAAGAAGAAAGAUGCAUGUACCUGGGGCUGGCCU
Molecule: long non-coding RNA, 784 nt
Organism: Otolemur garnettii (small-eared galago)
Lineage: Eukaryota; Metazoa; Chordata; Mammalia; Primates; Galagidae
Exons: 3
Source: RefSeq, a predicted model, not a curated record